Molecule: ribosomal RNA, 463 nt
Filed under: uncultured bacterium
Lineage: Bacteria
Description: bacterial LSU rRNA
Rfam family: Bacterial large subunit ribosomal RNA
Source: RNAcentral
UCGUCAUCGUAGGGUUAGUCGGGACCUAAGUCGAGUCCGAAAGGGGUAGACGAUGGCAAAUUGAUUAAUAUUUCAAUACCAACAUAUAAGCGCGAUGUGGGGACGCAUAGAGUUAAUCGAGCUCACUGAUGGAAUAGUGGGUCGAAGGACGUAGGCUGACACUUAGGCAAAUCCGGGUGUCAUGAGGCCGAGAUCUUACAGGCCGGACAAUAUCUUCGGAUAGCGUCUGGAAUCGAUGAUACUGUCGUGCCAAGAAAAGCCACUAAGUAUAUUAUAUGUUGCCCGUACCGUAAACCGACACAGGUGGGUGGGAUGAGUAUUCUAAGGCGCGUGGAAGAACCCUGGUUAAGGAACUCUGCAAACUAGCACCGUAUCUUCGGUAUAAGGUGUGCCUACUUUGGUAUAUGGACUUGCUCCAAAAAGCUAAAGAGGUUGCAACAAAGAGUCCCUCCCGACUGUUUAC